Molecule: ribosomal RNA, 496 nt
Filed under: uncultured bacterium
Lineage: Bacteria
Description: partial 16S ribosomal RNA
Rfam family: Bacterial small subunit ribosomal RNA
Source: RNAcentral
AUGAACGCUGGCGGCGUGCCUAAUACAUGCAAGUCGAGCGAACAGACGAGGAGCUUGCUCCUCUGACGUUAGCGGCGGACGGGUGAGUAACACGUGGAUAACCUACCUAUAAGACUGGGAUAACUUCGGGAAACCGGAGCUAAUACCGGAUAAUAUAUUGAACCGCAUGGUUCAAUAGUGAAAGACGGUUUUGCUGUCACUUAUAGAUGGAUCCGCGCCGCAUUAGCUAGUUGGUAAGGUAACGGCUUACCAAGGCGACGAUGCGUAGCCGACCUGAGAGGGUGAUCGGCCACACUGGAACUGAGACACGGUCCCGACUCCUACGGGAGGCAGCAGUAGGGAAUCUUCCGCAAUGGGCGAAAGCCUGACGGAGCAACGCCGCGUGAGUGAUGAAGGUCUUCGGAUCGUAAAACUCUGUUAUUAGGGAAGAACAAAUGUGUAAGUAACUAUGCACGUCUUGACGGUACCUAAUCAGAAAGCCACGGCUAACUACGUG